RNAcentral lists this transfer RNA (74 nucleotides) under Vibrio parahaemolyticus. RNAcentral describes it as "tRNA-Met". It matches the Rfam family "tRNA". From Rfam's summary of the family: Transfer RNA (tRNA) molecules are approximately 80 nucleotides in length. Their secondary structure includes four short double-helical elements and three loops (D, anti-codon, and T loops). Further hydrogen bonds mediate the characteristic L-shaped molecular structure. tRNAs have two regions of fundamental functional importance: the anti-codon, which is responsible for specific mRNA codon recognition, and the 3' end, to which the tRNAs corresponding amino acid is attached (by aminoacyl-tRNA synthetases). tRNAs cope with the degeneracy of the genetic code in two manners: having more than one tRNA (with a specific anti-codon) for a particular amino acid; and 'wobble' base-pairing, i.e. permitting non-standard base-pairing at the 3rd anti-codon position. RNAcentral also lists the same sequence under 2 other names. Lineage: Bacteria; Pseudomonadati; Pseudomonadota; Gammaproteobacteria; Vibrionales; Vibrionaceae. The record is from RNAcentral.
GGGGUGGAGCAGCUUGGUAGCUCGUCGGGCUCAUAACCCGAAGGUCGUCGGUUCAAAUCCGGCCCCCGCAACCA